Molecule: transfer RNA, 73 nt
Filed under: Candidatus Methylopumilus planktonicus
Lineage: Bacteria; Pseudomonadati; Pseudomonadota; Betaproteobacteria; Nitrosomonadales; Methylophilaceae
Rfam family: tRNA
About the family: Transfer RNA (tRNA) molecules are approximately 80 nucleotides in length. Their secondary structure includes four short double-helical elements and three loops (D, anti-codon, and T loops).
Source: Rfam by way of RNAcentral
GGGUUGGUAGCUCAGUUGGUAGAGCAGCGGACUUUUAAUCCGUUUGUCGCGGGUUCGACCCCCGCCCGACCCA